UGCCAGCCGCCGCGGUAACACGGGGGGCGCAAGCGUUAUUCGGAAUUAUUGGGCGUAAAGGGCGCGCAGGCGGUCUUGUCCGUCAGAUGUGAAAUCCCGGGGCUCAACCCCGGCAGUGCAUUUGAAACCCCGGAACUUGAGUAUGGGAGAGGGAAGUGGAAUUCCAGGUGUAGAGGUGAAAUUCGUAGAUAUCUGGAGGAACACCGGUGGCGAAGGCGACUUCCUGGACCAAUACUGACGCUGAGGUGCGAAGGCGUGGGGAGCAAACAGGAUUAGAUA
RNAcentral lists this ribosomal RNA (279 nucleotides) under uncultured bacterium. RNAcentral's name for it is "partial 16S ribosomal RNA". It matches the Rfam family "Bacterial small subunit ribosomal RNA", at positions 506 to 784 of the family's 1533-position model. The record is from RNAcentral.